AGCUUGUCCUUUUCGUUUACGUAACCAACUCUCAUUAUAAAAUAACAGCAGACCUGCUAAAUAGUAGACUGCAGAGGUUCGCGUUCAGUUUUUAUGAUCAAAGUAACAAACCUUCCCCAAAAUUUAAGACCAAUCUGUUGCGAAAAAAAGGUAACUAUAACACGAAGCAACGGGCAUCACAGAAUUGGUGUUUAAUUCGAAUGCUUCCUCUUUUAAUUGGUGAUUUGAUCCCGGAAGGAGACGAAUAUUUUUCCUUGAUUCUCAUUUUACUAGAAAUAAUGGAUAUUGUUUUUGCACCUAGUGUUUCAAUUGAGCAGACUAUUAUUCUAGAAGAUCUUAUUAACCAAAUGUAUUCAAGGUUUCAUUCAUUAUUUCCAUUGACUAGACCUAUUAACAAAUUCCACCAUAUGGCACACUAUCCAGCAGCUAUCCGGACUUAUGGUCCAGCUGUUGGAUAUUGGUGCAUGAGAUAUGAGGCUUACCAUAAUAGUUGUAAACGUGUUGCACAUAUAAACUGUAAUUUUAUUAACAUUCCAAAAUCAGUUGCUUAUCAUCUGCAAACGAUUUCCUGUCACAAUCUAUUAACUAAUGAUUUAUUUCACGAUGAUAUUCCCACGGUCGGUCCCAGGUCAAAAAAAAACUUAGUUAACAGGCAAGAAGACUCAAUCACUGAUGGAAAUAGUUCUUUAAAUCUGGAUUCAAACGCAACUGUUAUAAGAUGGGUAAAGUUUAAAGGCUGGCAUUACCGACCAGGAACCGUAAUAUUACUAAAACACAGCUUUGAAAAUCUUUCGGGGUAUCCGGAAUUCGGUAAAAUAAUAAAAAUUUUGUCAGGAGGCCAGGCAAUUUAUUUUGUUGUUACAGUUUUAGAGACCAUUACUUUCAACCGUCACUUUCAUGCCUUUGAAUUACAACCUUAUUUUCCUGCUAAAUCUAUUAUGAUUGCACAUGAUAAUUUGAGACCAAAUGUUGCUCCAACAUGGUUAUUAAAAAGUUUUAAUGUUUCCGAAAAUGUCUCUUACGUAACUGUUCGUUAUUUUGUCUAAAAUUAACAUAUUUCUCAUUCCUUUUAAAUAGCUGCUGAUAUUGAUGGACAGUGCCUUCUCUGUUUAGAUGAAGCAAAUGUUGAAGUACUUCAACUAACACUGGGACACAAGAUGAAACUGCUUAGUUUCAUAAAAACAAUCAAAAGUCAGCAGCCCCAAGAGCAAGAAAAGGAAUCUACUGGAAUUGUGGCUUGUGAUCCAACGAUAGAAUACGAACCAAUCGUCAACGAGAAUCAGAUACUUGAUAUCAUUGUGACGGACCAACCUUCAAAUAACAAUGUGAUUGAUUUCAACGUCAUCGACAUUUUAAAUGCGACCGACGAGGGGAAAGUAAUUGUGCAAAACUACCUGGAACGACUUGAGGCUUUCAUUACUGAAAAAGAGCGCAUCACAAUUGUUCAGAUCCUAGUGAAUCGCUUAGUGACAUUGACUGGAAAACUCGACUUAUUUCCCCCGACGGAGAAAAGAAAAAAUCUUGGUGAAGCCAUAGUGGCUGCGUUUCCUUGCCUGGGAAUCAACGUGGAUGGCAAAGUGUUUUCUUGUCAUUUCUAUAAUCAAACAACUGGAUCUGGUUUUAUUGAGACAAGGCUGAAAAGACUGAGGGAAGUUCAUCGUGAAGAACCACGCCGGAAGAGGCCAACACAGGACUCUUCUCCAAUCCAAAAAAACCGCGUGUCACGAAACGGCCUCAUGUAAAGAAAAAUGCCGACUACAUCUUCAAUGAAGCCGAAUGCCAGUUUAAGGUUGAAUGGUUGAAGAGUCAUCCGCCUGGAGGAGAUAAUGACACAGUCAUCAUUGAGUACAGCAAGGCGACUUUUGGGUAUCGCCAAAAAGAAAUCAAACAAACUCUGACUGAACCUGGUCUCAUCAUGAAAGAAUAUCCCCGCUUCAAGGACUUCCAAAAUGGAUCUCUGUUUCAGGUAGAAUUUCAGUUACUCUAUCCCGAUGCCAAGAACUUCGAAAAAGUCUUUAAAGAAAAAUUCUUAUUUAAAAUAUUGGCUCUGGCUAAUAAAAAAAACAUUGACAUUCCUGACUGCCCUGACGAAUGUCUUAAGGCCGUUUUCGUGUUACUAAAGCUGACUCCAAGCAUCGUUAAACUCCGAAAAGUUAAUUUUCGUUUGAUUACGGAACGACUGAUAGUCUUUUUAAAGGCAAUU
This is an RNA transcript of Daphnia magna, 2203 nucleotides long. RefSeq lists it as uncharacterized. The record is from RefSeq and is a predicted model, not a curated record. Lineage: Eukaryota; Metazoa; Arthropoda; Branchiopoda; Diplostraca; Daphniidae. The transcript is spliced from 5 exons.